RNAcentral lists this ribosomal RNA (1346 nucleotides) under uncultured bacterium. RNAcentral describes it as "partial 16S ribosomal RNA". It matches the Rfam family "Bacterial small subunit ribosomal RNA", at positions 28 to 1381 of the family's 1533-position model. The record is from RNAcentral.
GACGAACGCUGGCGGCGUGCUUAACACAUGCAAGUCGAACGGAAAGGCCCUGCUUUUGUGGGGUGCUCGAGUGGCGAACGGGUGAGUAACACGUGAGUAACCUGCCCUUGACUUUGGGAUAACUUCAGGAAACUGGGGCUAAUACCGGAUAGGAGCUCCUGCUGCAUGGUGGGGGUUGGAAAGUUUCGGCGGUUGGGGAUGGACUCGCGGCUUAUCAGCUUGUUGGUGGGGUAGUGGCUUACCAAGGCUUUGACGGGUAGCCGGCCUGAGAGGGUGACCGGCCACAUUGGGACUGAGAUACGGCCCAGACUCCUACGGGAGGCAGCAGUGGGGAAUAUUGCACAAUGGGCGGAAGCCUGAUGCAGCAACGCCGCGUGCGGGAUGACGGCCUUCGGGUUGUAAACCGCUUUCGCCUGUGACGAAGCGUGAGUGACGGUAAUGGGUAAAGAAGCACCGGCUAACUACGUGCCAGCAGCCGCGGUGAUACGUAGGGUGCGAGCGUUGUCCGGAUUUAUUGGGCGUAAAGGGCUCGUAGGUGGUUGAUCGCGUCGGAAGUGUAAUCUUGGGGCUUAACCCUGAGCGUGCUUUCGAUACGGGUUGACUUGAGGAAGGUAGGGGAGAAUGGAAUUCCUGGUGGAGCGGUGGAAUGCGCAGAUAUCAGGAGGAACACCAGUGGCGAAGGCGGUUCUCUGGGCCUUUCCUGACGCUGAGGAGCGAAAGCGUGGGGAGCGAACAGGCUUAGAUACCCUGGUAGUCCACGCUGUAAACGGUGGGUACUAGGUGUGGGGUCCAUUCCACGGGUUCCGUGCCGUAGCUAACGCUUUAAGUACCCCGCCUGGGGAGUACGGCCGCAAGGCUAAAACUCAAAGGAAUUGACGGGGUCCCGCACAAGCGGCGGAGCAUGCGGAUUAAUUCGAUGCAACGCGUAGAACCUUACCUGGGUUUGACAUGGAUCGGGAGUGCUCAGAGAUGGGUGUGCCUCUUUUGGGGUCGGUUCACAGGUGGUGCAUGGCUGUCGUCAGCUCGUGUCGUGAGAUGUUGGGUUAAGUCCCGCAACGAGCGCAACCCUUGUUCACUGUUGCCAGCACGUUAUGGUGGGGACUCAGUGGAGACCGCCGGGGUCAACUCGGAGGAAGGUGGGGAUGACGUCAAGUCAUCAUGCCCCUUAUGUCCAGGGCUUCACGCAUGCUACAAUGGCUGGUACAGAGAGUGGCGAGCCUGUGAGGGUGAGCGAAUCUCGGAAAGCCGGUCUCAGUUCGGAUUGGGGUCUGCAACUCGACCUCAUGAAGUCGGAGUCGCUAGUAAUCGCAGAUCAGCAACGCUGCGGUGAAUACGUUCCUGGGGCU